GCUGACGAUGACGCAUGACCGAUGAACAGGCGAAUGACGAAUGACUGGAUGUGACUGCCGGUACACCAUCCGUAACGGCGUCGAUGCAGUCAUUGACGAUUAUCCGUCGCACGUACAAUUGGAAAUUUCCGAGCAGCAAUGCGUUCGCUGCUUUUUCUUUUUUACUUGCUGCAACGGUCCUCGAAACUGGCGGUUCAUAUGCGGGGGUGAGCUUAUCGGUGCAGAUGUCGUGAUGACAGCCGGACACUGCGUACAGGGAGCUUGAAACACUCCGGAGAUAUUUCGCAUAGUGGCUGGUCAAACGAUUCUCAGUAAUGGUGGAACCGUAACAGGACAACGAGUCGUCGGCGCCGAGAUCAUUCUCCACGAGAGAUACGAUCUGGACGGUCAAUUCUCCAAUGACAUCGCCCUGAUGCGUCUGGAGAGCAGUCUUGACCUCACAUCGUCAUCGGUCAGUACCAUCGCUUUGCCGUGCGAUGGCGGCACAUACGAGAACAGUCUCUACGACGGUAUGACGGCGACCAUUAUAGGCCAUGGAC
Long non-coding RNA from Priapulus caudatus, 539 nucleotides. RefSeq lists it as uncharacterized. The record is from RefSeq and is a predicted model, not a curated record. Lineage: Eukaryota; Metazoa; Priapulida; Priapulimorpha; Priapulimorphida; Priapulidae. The transcript has 4 exons.